Molecule: long non-coding RNA, 2198 nt
Organism: Rosa chinensis
Lineage: Eukaryota; Viridiplantae; Streptophyta; Magnoliopsida; Rosales; Rosaceae
Exons: 7
Source: RefSeq, a predicted model, not a curated record
CUCCCAAUUGCUCUCGGCCUCCUUUGUAGGAAAAAAAAUAUAUAUAUGCACUCGGCCUCCCUCUGACCCAGUAUCGCGCUCACCCUCAUUCUCGGCCCCCUCACCAUCGCCCUCACCCUUAAUCCCCCUCACCCUCUCAACCUCAUCGACCCUCUCAACCUCGCUCUCAAUCUCAACUGGUUUUUCUUACUUCAAGCAUCUGAUACAACAAGGCCCAGCAUAUAAUCCGUAGAAGUAAGGAGAGAAACGAAGAAGGAAGAGAUAGGCAAAAAAAUUGCAGACCCACUCAGGCAACGAUUAAAGCAGAGAGAAGACUCUAGUGUGAGAUAGGAAAAACUGGAGUUCGAGAAAGCUGUCAAAGGCGCAAAUCAAGUUCUGUUCAUUGCUCUGGAAACGAUGAUACGAUUAAGUGCAAUUUGGUGGGCUUAACUCUCCUCUCCAUUUUGCUGCAGCUAAAGGGCACAACGAGAUCGUUUUGGGUUUUCUUUGUUUCGAUUUCUGGGUUUGGUUUCCAUUUGAAAUUGAUGACCAUUUGAUUUUUAUGAUUUUGGUUCUUUUCUGGCGCCUUUGAUUCAGAUUAUUUCAUUGCUUUUGGAGAAUGGAAUUGAUGUAAACUCCAGAAAUUACUGUGGGCAGAUUUGGGAUUUAGGUGAUUGAUUGGAAAAGUUUCAAGCUUUGUUCUUGAGCUCAGUUUUUCAAACCACGCAGCUGCAAGCAGGGUGGCGAGCUGUGGCCAUUCCUUGCAUAGAGAUUGUCUUCGUUUCUAUGGAUUUGGGAAAGUGGUUGCUUGCUUUCGGUAUGCAUCGAUUAUGUUCAUUCUGUCUACCUUCCACCCUCCAAACUGGAUUUCAUUUCUGAGAAGCAGGAGUGGAUACAAAAAGAAACUAAUAAGAUUUGGGAUUUAGGUGAUUGAUUGGAAAAGUUUCAAGCUUUGUUCCUGAUGUUUGGUAAUUUGAAUAUUUUCAUUGGAUGGUGACUCGCUUGGUUUCUGCAGGUUUGGGAUGUUGAUUAUUGAUUGGAGAGGUUUCAAGUUAUGAUUUUACUGUAUGUUAUAUCGAUGGAGAAGUUUUUAGAAUCUCUUAGAUUGUUGGUUUUUCUGGAAUUGAAGGCUUAAUAAUAGAAUCUAACAUGUAAAUGCAUAUGCAGUGGAAGGGACUGUUGUAUUUUGAUUUCUGGUUUUGGUGAGUUUGGUGGGUCUUCUACUUUUGUUCUGUUUUGCUAAGAAGACGAACUGUGUUUCCAAGCAGUUUUUUUUUUUUUUUUUUCUAAGAGCACGAACUCUGUUUGUAAUACAGGCCUGUGGUUCUUCCUCCGGAAGUGUCAAAGCUACUUCCAGAGAAUUGGCUUUUUCCUGACAUAGGUUUAUAGAGCUGGCUUUUAUUUUAUUUUAAUUUUAGAGUGAUUGGGUCUGUUUAUGUUCUUAAUUGGAACAAUAUUUGUGUUUGAUUUCUGUGGAAAGGAUUUAGUUACUGAAUUUUGUUUAGGCUAAUAGGUUGUUUGUAAUUGUCAUUCAUUCAGUUUCGUCUGUUUUCUUUCCCAUGACAAAUAAAGUUUUUUUUUUUUUGGCUCACAGAAACUUUGUGUUAAAGUUAUUAUUGGUAGCUUUGCAAUUAAUUUUAGUGUUUCAUAGUUGUUUUAUUUGAUUUCUGCAUAUUUUAUGCAAAAGAAUUUUGGCACCAUCUUUGUGCAGUUUUUCCUUUGCCUAUUGCUCAGUGUCGUCUUGCUUAAUCGGGAAUCGUCGAACGGUCCACGUGGCAAGAUCAGGGACACCAAUGGAAUUUGUGAUUUUCAAAUUGUUAUUAUAGUAGCCACUUUGGGGAAGGUUGGUUGGUAUCUAAAGAUCUGAGGGUUGAAGAAGGUAAGCUGGUAUCGCUGGGCUGAGUUAAGCUUGCUAUCCUUAAGUGGGAGAGAAGAAGUAAAGCAGCAUAUUCCCAAGAGGAUAUCGAUGUGGUCAGAACUGAGUGGGCAAAGUUUGUGGUUAAAACAUAUAUGUAAGAUUUGUGUUGGUACUUCUUGGAGACCUAGUUCAAAGUUUGUGGUUAUGUUUUGGUUGGACAUGAUCAGUAGCUAGUACUUUGAAUUGAUAUGUAAGAAAUACUUUAUACAAUUAGGUACCCUAUUUCUAGUUUCGGUGUGUUUUGGCAAUGUAUGACAAUGCUGUGCUAGUAAAUGACAUUUGAACUAAUUUGUGUUUCAUA